GACGAACGCUGGCGGCAUGCUUAACACAUGCAAGUCGAACGAGACGGCCGGGCUUAGGGGCGCAGGGCGGCGGGAGGCGGGGGAAGCAACCCGUAAGUACGGAGCAACUGCCUGAAGGGGAUGCUAAGACAGGUGAGGGUAAUAGGAGCAAAGAGUUAUCGCGUUUGGGUGGGGGCGGGUUGGAUUCGCUGGUUGGGAGGGUAAAAGCAUACCAAGGGGACGUUCCAGGGCUGGUGUGGGAGGAUGAUUAGCCACGCUGGGGAUGCGACACGGGCCAGUCUCCUACGGGGGGGAGCAGUGGGGUAUAUUGGACAAUGGGCGCAAGCCUGAUCCAGCAAUGCCGCGUGAGUGAUGAAGGCCUUAGGGUUGUAAAGCUCUUUUACCCGGGAUGAUAAUGACAGUACCGGGUGAAUAAGCUCCGGCUAACUCCGUG
Molecule: ribosomal RNA, 433 nt
Filed under: uncultured bacterium
Lineage: Bacteria
Description: partial 16S ribosomal RNA
Rfam family: Bacterial small subunit ribosomal RNA
Source: RNAcentral